Molecule: ribosomal RNA, 492 nt
Filed under: uncultured bacterium
Lineage: Bacteria
Description: partial 16S ribosomal RNA
Rfam family: Bacterial small subunit ribosomal RNA
Source: RNAcentral
AGUGAACGCUGGCGGCAGGCCUAACACAUGCAAGUCGAACGGCAGCACAGUAAGAGCUUGCUCUUACGGGUGGCGAGUGGCGGACGGGUGAGGAAUACAUCGGAAUCUACUUUUUCGCGGGGGAUAACGUAGGGAAAAUUACGCUAAUACCGCAUACGACCUCCGGGUGAAAGCAUGGGAUCUUAGGAAAUUGCGCGAUUGUAUGAGCCGAGGUCGGAUUAGCUAGUUGGCGGGGUAAUGGCCCACCAAGGCGACGAUCCGUAGCUGGUCUGAGAGGAUGAUCAGCCACGCUGGAACGGAGACAAGGUCCAGACCCCUACGGGAGGCAGCAGUGGGGAAUAUUAGACAAUGGGCGCAAGCCUGAUCCAGCCAUGCCGCGUGGGGGAAGAAGGCCUUGGGGUUGUAAAGCCCUUUUGUUGGGAAAGAAAGGCAGCAAGUUAAUACCCCGCUGUUCUGACGGUACCCAAAGAAUAAGCACCGGCUAACUUCGUG